GGUUAAGCGACUAAGCGUACACGGUGGAUGCCCUGGCAGUCAGAGGCGAUGAAGGACGUGCUAAUCUGCGAAAAGCGUCGGUAAGGUGAUAUGAACCGUUAUAACCGGCGAUGUCCGAAUGGGGAAACCCAGUGCAAUUCGUUGCACUAUCGUUAACUGAAUACAUAGGUUAACGAGGCGAACCGGGGGAACUGAAACAUCUAAGUACCCCGAGGAAAAGAAAUCAACCGAGAUUCCCCCAGUAGCGGCGAGCGAACGGGGAGCAGCCCAGAGUCUGAAUCAGCUUGUGUGUUAGUGGAACGGUCUGGAAAGUCCGACGGUACAGGGUGAUAGUCCCGUACACCAAAAUGCACAGGCUGUGAACUCGAAGAGUAGGGCGGGACACGUGGUAUCCUGUCUGAAUAUGGGGGGACCAUCCUCCAAGGCUAAAUACUCCUGACUGACCGAUAGUGAACCAGUACCGUGAGGGAAAGGCGAAAAGAACCCCGGCGAGGGGAGUGAAAAAGAACCUGAAACCGUGUACGUACAAGCAGUGGGAGCACCUUCGGGUGUGACUGCGUACCUUUUGUAUAAUGGGUCAGCGACUUAUAUUCUGUAGCAAGGUUAACCGUAUAGGGGAGCCGCAGGGAAACCGAGUCUUAACUGGGCGUUAAGUUGCAGGGUAUAGACCCGAAACCCGGUGAUCUAGCCAUGGGCAGGUUGAAGGUUGGGUAACACUAACUGGAGGACCGAACCGACUAAUGUUGAAAAAUUAGCGGAUGACUUGUGGCUGGGGGUGAAAGGCCAAUCAAACCGGGAGAUAGCUGGUUCUCCCCGAAAGCUAUUUAGGUAGCGCCUCGUGAACUCAUCUUCGGGGGUAGAGCACUGUUUCGGCUAGGGGGUCAUCCCGACUUACCAACCCGAUGCAAACUACGAAUACCGAAGAAUGUUAUCACGGGAGACACACGGCGGGUGCUAACGUCCGUCGUGAAGAGGGAAACAACCCAGACCGCCAGCUAAGGUCCCAAAGUCAUGGUUAAGUGGGAAACGAUGUGGGAAGGCACAGACAGCCAGGAUGUUGGCUUAGAAGCAGCCAUCAUUUAAAGAAAGCGUAAUAGCUCACUGGUCGAGUCGGCCUGCGCGGAAGAUGUAACGGGGCUAAACCAUGCACCGAAGCUGCGGCAGCGACACUAUGUGUUGUUGGGUAGGGGAGCGUUCUGUAAGCCUGCGAAGGUGACCUGUGAGGGUUGCUGGAGGUAUCAGAAGUGCGAAUGCUGACAUAAGUAACGAUAAAGCGGGUGAAAAGCCCGCUCGCCGGAAGACCAAGGGUUCCUGUCCAACGUUAAUCGGGGCAGGGUGAGUCGACCCCUAAGGCGAGGCCGAAAGGCGUAGUCGAUGGGAAACAGGUUAAUAUUCCUGUACUUGGUGUUACUGCGAAGGGGGGACGGAGAAGGCUAUGUUAGCCGGGCGACGGUUGUCCCGGUUUAAGCAUGUAGGCUGGUUAUCCAGGCAAAUCCGGAUAAUCAAGGCUGAGGUGUGAUGACGAGGCACUACGGUGCUGAAGUAACAAAUGCCCUGCUUCCAGGAAAAGCCUCUAAGCAUCAGGUAACAUCAAAUCGUACCCCAAACCGACACAGGUGGUCAGGUAGAGAAUACCAAGGCGCUUGAGAGAACUCGGGUGAAGGAACUAGGCAAAAUGGUGCCGUAACUUCGGGAGAAGGCACGCUGGUGUGUAGGUGAAGUCCCUGCGGAUGGAGCUGAGACCAGUCGAAGAUACCAGCUGGCUGCAACUGUUUAUUAAAAACACAGCACUGUGCAAACACGAAAGUGGACGUAUACGGUGUGACGCCUGCCCGGUGCCGGAAGGUUAAUUGAUGGGGUUAUCCGUAAGGAGAAGCUCUUGAUCGAAGCCCCGGUAAACGGCGGCCGUAACUAUAACGGUCCUAAGGUAGCGAAAUUCCUUGUCGGGUAAGUUCCGACCUGCACGAAUGGCGUAAUGAUGGCCAGGCUGUCUCCACCCGAGACUCAGUGAAAUUGAACUCGCUGUGAAGAUGCAGUGUACCCGCGGCAAGACGGAAAGACCCCGUGAACCUUUACUAUAGCUUGACACUGAACAUUGAGCCUUGAUGUGUAGGAUAGGUGGGAGGCUUUGAAGCGUGGACGCCAGUCUGCGUGGAGCCAACCUUGAAAUACCACCCUUUAAUGUUUGAUGUUCUAACGUUGGCCCCUUAUCGGGGUUGCGGACAGUGUCUGGUGGGUAGUUUGACUGGGGCGGUCUCCUCCCAAAGCGUAACGGAGGAGCACGAAGGUUAGCUAAUCCUGGUCGGACAUCAGGAGGUUAGUGCAAUGGCAUAAGCUAGCUUGACUGCGAGCGUGACGGCGCGAGCAGGUGCGAAAGCAGGUCAUAGUGAUCCGGUGGUUCUGAAUGGAAGGGCCAUCGCUCAACGGAUAAAAGGUACUCCGGGGAUAACAGGCUGAUACCGCCCAAGAGUUCAUAUCGACGGCGGUGUUUGGCACCUCGAUGUCGGCUCAUCACAUCCUGGGGCUGAAGUAGGUCCCAAGGGUAUGGCUGUUCGCCAUUUAAAGUGGUACGCGAGCUGGGUUUAGAACGUCGUGAGACAGUUCGGUCCCUAUCUGCCGUGGGCGCUGGAGAAUUGAGGGGGGCUGCUCCUAGUACGAGAGGACCGGAGUGGACGCAUCACUGGUGUUCGGGUUGUCAUGCCAAUGGCACUGCCCGGUAGCUAAAUGCGGAAGAGAUAAGUGCUGAAAGCAUCUAAGCACGAAACUUGCCCCGAGAUGAGUUCUCCCUGAGACUUUAAGUCUCCUGAAGGAACGUUAAAGACGAUGACGUUGAUAGGCCGGGUGUGUAAGCGCAGCGAUGCGUUGAGCUAACCGGUACUAAUGAACCGUGAGGCUUAACCUU
This 2902-nucleotide ribosomal RNA is filed under the name Klebsiella pneumoniae. Its description in RNAcentral is "23S ribosomal RNA". It matches the Rfam family "Bacterial large subunit ribosomal RNA". The record is from RNAcentral. Lineage: Bacteria; Pseudomonadati; Pseudomonadota; Gammaproteobacteria; Enterobacterales; Enterobacteriaceae. RNAcentral also lists the same sequence under 1 other name.